GGCUAAAUACUCCUGACUGACCGAUAGUGAACCAGUACCGUGAGGGAAAGGCGAAAAGAACCCCGGCGAGGGGAGUGAAACAGAACCUGAAACCGUGUACGUACAAGCAGUGGGAGCCUUCUUUAUGAGGGUGACUGCGUACCUUUUGUAUAAUGGGUCAGCGACUUAUAUUCUGUAGCAAGGUUAACCGCAUAGGGGAGCCGCAGGGAAACCGAGUCUUAACUGGGCGUUAAGUUGCAGGGUAUAGACCCGAAA
Molecule: ribosomal RNA, 255 nt
Filed under: Pantoea ananatis
Lineage: Bacteria; Pseudomonadati; Pseudomonadota; Gammaproteobacteria; Enterobacterales; Erwiniaceae
Description: partial 23S ribosomal RNA
Rfam family: Bacterial large subunit ribosomal RNA
Source: RNAcentral